CAGCCGCCGCGGUAAUACGAAGGGGGCUAGCGUUGCUCGGAAUUACUGGGCGUAAAGGGCGCGUAGGCGGACAGUUCAGUCGGGGGUGAAAGCCCGGGGCUCAACCUCGGAAUUGCCUUCGAUACUGGCUGUCUUGAGUAUGAGAGAGGUGUGUGGAACUCCGAGUGUAGAGGUGAAAUUCGUAGAUAUUCGGAAGAACACCAGUGGCGAAGGCGACACACUGGCUCAUUACUGACGCUGAGGCGCGAAAGCGUGGGGAGCAAACAGGAUUAGAUACCCGUGUAGUCCCUGUCUCUUAUAC
Molecule: ribosomal RNA, 301 nt
Filed under: uncultured bacterium
Lineage: Bacteria
Description: partial 16S ribosomal RNA
Rfam family: Bacterial small subunit ribosomal RNA
Source: RNAcentral